This 309-nucleotide ribosomal RNA is filed under the name uncultured eukaryote. RNAcentral's name for it is "partial 18S ribosomal RNA". It matches the Rfam family "Eukaryotic small subunit ribosomal RNA", at positions 1470 to 1796 of the family's 1831-position model. The record is from RNAcentral.
CCCUUAGAUGUUCUGGGCGACCCGCGCACUACAUUGGCACUGGCAACAAGAUCCUAGAUCUGGUAUUUCGGGGUAUUCUACCAACUGGUGUCGUGACUGGGAUUAACCCCUGCAAUUAUUGGUUAUGAACGAGGAAUUCCUUGUAAUCACGGUUUAUCAACCCGUGUUGAAUGCGUCCCUGCCCUUUGUACACACCGCCCGUCGCUCCUACCGAUGAAUCGUCCGGUGAAGUUCAUGGAGUCGCGGCUGCUCCAGCUGUUUUCGAAGUGAAAUGGACCUCAUGAUUUAGAGGAAGGAGAAGUCGUAACA